CCUUGCUCCUUGGCUCUUGUCCUGGUUUCAGCUGGGACAGAGUUGGUCUUCAUAGCAUAUGGUUUGAUGCUAUGUUUUGGCUUUAGGAGAAAAACAACAUUGCUAACACAUUGAUAUUUUAGUUGUUGCUGAGCAGUGCUGUAGAGAGACAAGGAUAUUUCAGUUUUUCAGCUUCUAGUACUGUUCUGCCAGCAUGGGGACCUGCGGAGCAUGAGGAGCUCAGAAGGGACAGAACCAGGACAGCUAGCUUACACUGGCCAAAAGGAUAUUCCAUAUUAUAUGACAUCAUACGAAAAAGAACUUCAAAAAUGGUGGGGACUUGGCUGGGGGAGCAGCUGCUGCUUGUAGACUGGCUGGACAUCAGUCCACAAGUGACAAUUAAUUUUUUAGGACUGUGGGUUGAAGAGAGCAGCCAGGAAACGUCGUGUAACUUGGAGAGGACUACAUGUGAUAACACUGAAGAAUGAUCAGAGAGUAAACUGUGAAACCACUAUGGUGUCUGUUGAGGAAAACCUACAAGCUGUCAAGAAAGCUCUGGACGUUUUGUGAUACAAUCUAUCAAUUAUCCCAGCUGAAUGCCGGUGUUUAUAGAGGGCAUUUUUUGUUGUUGUUGUAAUUCCAUGCCAUCUCAGGCUUACAGUAAGCCACCUGGCCAGCAUGAAUGUGCAGGUUAAUUUCAGGAUCAUAUAUUAUUCUGUAUAAUAAAAACAAGUUGUCUGGUUGUUUUUAGUGAAUUUGUCUAAGCCCGUUCCCAUGGGCUCCCCACCUCCCAGGGAGAAGUUGUAGUCUGCUCUGUUUCAUCAUCGCUUUUGUGGCAUU
Molecule: long non-coding RNA, 819 nt
Filed under: Gallus gallus (chicken)
Lineage: Eukaryota; Metazoa; Chordata; Aves; Galliformes; Phasianidae
Description: lncRNA (ENSGALG00010018918.1)
Source: RNAcentral